GUCCUGAGUUUGAUUCUUAUAUCUCCGUUAUUUAUAUUAUCUUUCAGUUAGUCUACGUGGCACGAUUUAUCUGAUAUUUAUCAUAUACAACAGAAUUAGAUUAUAGGGACACAUAUUUGAGACAUUUUUGUGUAAGUGUCCCAUUUAUGCCAAAACUUUUAAAAAUAUCUAGUAAUGCCUAAAUAUAAAGCUCAAUCCAACUAAAAAUGAAAGAUUACUCUACUCAUUCAGCCCUAUUACAAACAAAAAAGAAAAAAAAAAGAAAAAUCGAUUACCAUCUUCCCAUUUUUCCUCACUCAAUCUACUGAAAUGAUGACGAAAAGCCCUUUCCUCUCCUCCUCCUUUGCCACCGCAGCAAACGAGGUAGAGUUUCAGCAGUUGCUAAAUGCUUAAAUAAGUGUUGGUAAAUUAGCGGCACUCCUUUUAGGUUAUAUCGACACUCUUUAACUGUCACUAUAUACCUAGCGAUCCCACAUAUAACAAUAUUUUUUAAAAGUGUCGGUAAUUUAGCCAGUAGCACUUUUUCUGACCUAUACUGAUAUUUAAGUCAUUUAUGACUAGAUUAAUUUUUUGUAUAACGAC
This 582-nucleotide long non-coding RNA is filed under the name Ananas comosus (pineapple). Its description in RNAcentral is "long non-coding RNA (ACOM_LNC012699)". The record is from RNAcentral. Lineage: Eukaryota; Viridiplantae; Streptophyta; Magnoliopsida; Poales; Bromeliaceae.